RNAcentral lists this ribosomal RNA (509 nucleotides) under uncultured Glomus. RNAcentral describes it as "SSU rRNA". It matches the Rfam family "Eukaryotic small subunit ribosomal RNA", at positions 569 to 1081 of the family's 1831-position model. The record is from RNAcentral. Lineage: Eukaryota; Fungi; Glomeromycota; Glomeromycetes; Glomerales; Glomeraceae.
AGCAGCCGCGGUAAUUCCAGCUCCAAUAGCGUAUAUUAAAGUUGUUGCAGUUAAAAAGCUCGUAGUUGAAUUUCGGGGUCGGUAGGUUGGUCGUGCCUCUGGUAUGCACUGGUCUCACUGAUUCCUCCUUCCUGAUGAGCCGUAAUGCCAUUAAUUUGGUGUUGCGAGGAAUCUGGACUGUUACUUUGAAAAAUUAGAGUGUUUAAAGCAAGCUGACGCUUGAAUACAUUAGCAUGGAAUAAUGGAAUAGGACGUUCGAUCCUAUUUUGUUGGUUUCUAGGAUUGACGUAAUGAUUAAUAGGGAUAGUUGGGGGCAUUAGUAUUCAAUUGUCAGAGGUGAAAUUCUUGGAUUUAUUGAAGACUAACUACUGCGAAAGCAUUUGCCAAGGAUGUUUUCAUUAAUCAAGAACGAAAGUUAGGGGAUCGAAGACGAUCAGAUACCGUCGUAGUCUUAACCAUAAACUAUGCCGACUAGGGAUCGGAUGAUGUUAAUUUUUAAUGACUCAUUC